UACGUAGGGUGCAAGCGUUGUCCGGAUUUAUUGGGCGUAAAGAGCUCGUAGGCGGUUUGUCGCGUCGGAUGUGAAAACCCAGGGCUCAACCCUGGGCCUGCAUUCGAUACGGGCAAACUAGAGUAUGGCAGGGGAGACUGGAAUUCCUGGUGUAGCGGUGAAAUGCGCAGAUAUCAGGAAGAACACCCGUGGCGAAAGCGGCUCUCUGGAACGGUACUGACGCUGAGACGCGAAAGCGUGGGGAGCGAACAGG
Molecule: ribosomal RNA, 253 nt
Filed under: uncultured bacterium
Lineage: Bacteria
Description: partial 16S ribosomal RNA
Rfam family: Bacterial small subunit ribosomal RNA
Source: RNAcentral